RNAcentral lists this ribosomal RNA (476 nucleotides) under uncultured bacterium. Its description in RNAcentral is "bacterial SSU rRNA". It matches the Rfam family "Bacterial small subunit ribosomal RNA", at positions 146 to 620 of the family's 1533-position model. The record is from RNAcentral.
ACCGGUGGAAACGCCGACUAAUCCCCGAUGGGAUAUUGUGCCGCAUGGCACGAUAUUGAAAGUUACGGCGGCGACGGAUUGGCUCGCGUCCGAUUAGCUUGUUGGCGGGGUAACGGCCCACCAAGGCUACGAUCGGUAGGGGUUCUGAGAGGAAGGCCCCCCACAAUGGGACUGAGACACGGCCCAUACUCCUACGGGAGGCAGCAGUGAGGAAUAUUGGUCAAUGGGCGGAAGCCUGAACCAGCCAUGCCGCGUGCGGGAAGGAGGCCCUAUGGGCUGUGAACCGCUUUUGCCUGGGGGCAAUAAGGGCGUCGCGCACGCCCGAUGAGAGUACCAGGCGAAUAAGCAUCGGCUAACUCCGUGCCAGCAGCCGCGGUAAUACGGGGGAUGCGAGCGUUAUCCGGAUUCAUUGGGUUUAAAGGGUGCGUAGGCUGUGCGUCAAGUCGGGGGUGAAAUUCCGGUGCUCAACACCGGGG